This is a long non-coding RNA of Oncorhynchus nerka (sockeye salmon), 1939 nucleotides long. RefSeq lists it as uncharacterized. NCBI's taxonomy places the organism in Eukaryota, Metazoa, Chordata, Actinopteri, Salmoniformes, Salmonidae. The record is from RefSeq and is a predicted model, not a curated record. The transcript is spliced from 3 exons.
UAAACUGCAUGGUGUCUGUCCCGAGUCGUAUUGGGAGGACCACACGCCAUAUCAUCUCGUUGAAUCCAAGUUUACUUCGAUCUGAUGGUUAUUAUAUAAUAUUUGCGCAUAAGGGCGUUUCCACCACAAUUUCUGUCAAUUCAUUUUCCCGACGCAAAACGAUCCCAUGUCAAACAAAUUAUCUGUCGGCAUUUAUAAAAAAUUAUACCGAAAUUACCUGUUUCUAUCACAGCUGUCGUGAUUUUUUCAAAAUAAGAUGACUUUACUUUCAUAACUGGAUGGAAACGUGAUCAAAAUUCACCCAGGCUCAAACGUUACGGUCCCAAAGAACGUCUGGAGGGCAGUCAUGCAACUAGGCCAACAGUUACAUUGACAUGGCAAGAGCUGCUGUUGGGUGCUUUUGAUGUUGACAUGUUGCUGAAGAGCAACCUGAGAGAUUUUGUCAUGAAGUCCUUACCUGGUUCAACAAAUGGACACGAGGGAAUGGCUUACAACAAUAACAUGGCUGAAUUAAGAAGCGAUGGGAGCAAAAAAUUGGAUUAAAUGUGUUUAGUGUUUUGAGUCGUUUCAUUCGAACGUUUUAUUACCAUGACUACUAAGUAUCACUAAAUUAAUGUUCCUGUUACAUAAACUAUAUUUACAAAAGAAUGUGGACACCCUUUCAAAUUAGUGGAUUCGGCUAUUUCAGCCACACCCGUUGCUGACAGGUAAAUAAAUUGAGCUGCUAUGCAAUCUACAUAGACAAAUAUUGGCAGUAGAAUGGCCCGUACUGAAGAGCUCAGUGACUUUCAAUGUGGCACCGUCAUAGGAUGCCACCUUUCCAACAGGUCAGUUCGUCACAUUUCUGACCCAGUCAACUGUAAGUGUUGCUAUUGUGAAGUGGAAACAUCUAGGAUCUACAACGUCUCAGCCGCGAAGUGGUAGAACACAAGCUUACAGAACGGGACUGCCGAGUUCUGAAAUGCGUAGCGCGUAAGAAAUCAUCUGUCCUCGGUUGCAACAUUCACUACCGAGUUUCAAACUACCUCUGGAAGCAACGUCAGCACAAUAACUGUUCAUCGGGAGAUUCAUUAAAUGGGUUUCCAUGGCCAAGCAGCCACACAUAAGCCUAAGAUCACCAUGCGCAAUACCAAGCAUCGGCUGGAACAAAUCUGGGUUUGGCAGAUGCUAGGAGAACGCUACCUGCCCGAAUGCAUAGUGCGAUCUGUAAAGUUUGGUGGAGGAGGAAUAAUGGUCUGGGGCUGUUUUUCAUGGUUUGGGCUAGGACCCUUACUUCCAGUGAAGGGAAAUCUUAACGUGACAGCAUACAAUUACAUUUUAGAUGAUUAUGUGCUUCCAACGUUGAGGAAACAGUUUGGGGAAGGCCCUUUCCUGUUUAAACAUGACAAUGCCCCAUGCACAAAGCGAGGUCCAUACAGAAAUGUUUUGUCGUGGUGGCAGCAUCAUGGUUUGGGCCUGCUUUUCUUCAGCAGGGACAGGGAAGAUGGUUCAAAUUGAUGGGAAGAUGGAUGGAGCCAAAUACAGGACCAUUCUGGAAGAAAACCUGAUGGAGUCUGCAAAAGACCUGAGACUGGGACGGAGAUUUGUGGCCUUCACAGAGCCCUGACCUCAACCCCAUCGAACACCUUUGGGAUGAAUAGGAACGUCGACUGUGAGCCAGGCCUAAUCGCCCAACAUCAGUGUCCGACCUCACUAAUGCUCUUGUGGCUGAAUGGAAGCAAUUCCCUGCAGCAAUGUUCCAACAUUUAGUGGAAAGACUGUUUUUCUGCAACGUAUAAAAUAGUAAAAAUAAAGAAAAACCCUUGAAUGAGUAGGUAUGUAUAUACAGUGCCUUGCGAAAGUAUUCGGCCCCCUUGAACUUUGCGACCUUUUGCCACAUUUCAGGCUUCAAACAUAAAGAUAUAAAACUAUUUUUUUGUGAAGAAUCAACAAGUGGAAC